Molecule: ribosomal RNA, 451 nt
Filed under: uncultured Anaerolineaceae bacterium
Lineage: Bacteria; Bacillati; Chloroflexota; Anaerolineae; Anaerolineales; Anaerolineaceae
Description: bacterial SSU rRNA
Rfam family: Bacterial small subunit ribosomal RNA
Source: RNAcentral
CGGGCCCGCACAAGCAGCGGAGCGUGUGGUUUAAUUCGAUGCUACACGAAGAACCUUACUGGUUUGACAUAGCAGUGGUAGGGAAGAGAAAUCGGACCGACCCUUCGGGAGCUGUUACAGGUGUUGCAUGGCUGUCGUCAGCUCGUGUCGUGAGAUGUUCGGUUAAGUCCGCUAACGAGCGCAACCCGCGUUGUGUGUUAUAUGUGUCACACAAUACCGCCGGUAUUAAGCCGGAGGAAGGUGCGGAUGACGUCAAGUCAGCAUGACCUUUAUAUCCAGGGCUACACACACGCUACAAUGGACAGUACAACAGGUUGCCAAGCCGCGAGGCGGAGCCAAUCCUCUAAAGCUGUCCUCAGUUCAGAUUGCAGGCUGCAACUCGCCUGCAUGAAGUUGGAGUUGCUAGUAACCGCAGGUCAGCUAUACUGCGGUGAAUACGUUCCCGGGGAUU